RNAcentral lists this long non-coding RNA (3645 nucleotides) under Homo sapiens (human). RNAcentral's name for it is "HSALNT0306457". The record is from RNAcentral. Lineage: Eukaryota; Metazoa; Chordata; Mammalia; Primates; Hominidae.
AGAGCCUUCUCAUCUCCCAGGGGAGGAGGAAGGAUAGCAGUAGAUACUUAAAAUGCUCCUUGCCUCCCAUUUGCUCAGUUCUGAAUCCAGGUCUUGCUAAAGCAAAAGAGUUAGUGCCAUCUUCAGAUUAGAAUUGGGGGAGGAUGUGAUCAUACCUACCCAUCAGUAGUCCUACGGAGGCAUGGGGCUUCCUACCGACUCUCCAGGGGAAAUGGGGGCCUGUAGGGUUUCUGGUGAUGGUGGCUGACAGGCCAUCCUCACCAGUCACCAAACCACUCAGGUAGGCCAUAAUCAGAGGAUGAUGAGGCGGUCCUGCUGACUACCUGAGGCCAGCCCGCAUGCCGGCUGGCCAGCCUAAAGGGCAGUCCCUGUGCCCAGGCAAGGGCAUGCUGCAUCUUCAGAAUGGAAACGCACCUCAUCACUGGCAGGCCACCAGGGCCAUCACAAGGUGUAGGAGCCACCAUCCCUGUCCCCUCUUCUCUACCCUCCUCCCACACCAUUCCUAGCCCUGUCUUUUGCAAUGCUUAGAUAAUAGUCCAUAUGGCCUGACAGAACAGGGACCACUCAUAAAAUAAUUGUCAUCAAAUGCUAGCUGUGUGCCCACCAGGAAAGGGGGGCAGGGGAGUACAGAAGAAUAUCAGUCAGUCAGUCUGACAAGCCCAGGCUUGAGUCCCAGUCCAUGGCCCCCGAACCAACCUGGCCAAGUUACUUCACUUCUCUGAGCCUCAAAUUCCUCUUCUGUACAAUGAGGAAAAUAAUGCUCACCCUUCAGAAAGUUGUUAUGAUUUAAAAUGCAACAACAUAUGUCAAGUAUAUAGACAGUGCCUGAUAAGUCACAGCUAAAAAUAUUUUUUUUCUUCAGAGUCAUAUAUAAGAUAAUAACAAAACAGAUCUGAUAAUGUCAUCCUAAGCUUAACACUCUUCAUUGGGUCCACAUUGUCUGCAGGAUAAAGUCCAUCCAUUGCCAUCAAAUUGCUCCAGCCUAAAUGUCCCAGCCUCAUCUCCCAUAAUGCCACUCUGCACCCUGUGCCGCUCCAAGUUGUCCAAGCAGAAUUUGUGUGUUUAUGCUUUUACUUUUGAAAUCCCCUCUGCUUGUACAACCCUCCUAUAUUCUAUAGUCCUCAGGACCCAACCUUUCAGAGAAACCUUCUUUAAUUCUCCACUCCCUCUCCCAAUCAAAAUCAAUACAAGUGACAUUCUUCUGUGUUCCCGUGGCAUUUUGCAUACACCCUUUCUAAAGUACAUAAUGCCUAUGUGUGUGAUGAUUAUGUACACAUCUGUCUCUUUCCCUGUACUCAAAGCUCCUUGCAGACAGUCUUACAUAGCAUGGCGACUCCAGUCCCAGCACUGCUUACCCCACGGAUCGGGAAGAUGGAGGCUCCUGAAGAGCUGUAGAAGCGCAUCCUAGGCAGAAGCCCAGCAGACAGCAAAGGGCCUGGUUUGUUCAAGGAACUGGAGGGCAAGAAAAUCAGGAGCCAAUUCAUGCAGGGCACAGUUAGCCAAGGCAGGAGGCAAUCAUGCUCACCCUCUUCCACAGCCGGACUCACUCAGGAGGCCCUUCAUCUUCAUGUUCCCCACAUAGCAGAGGGGAGGGCAGAAGAUGAGAGGGAGGAGAGAGCAGAGCCAAGAGCCUCCUUUUCUCCCACUGUGCCCCUCCUAUGUGUGGCUCUGGACACCAGGAACCACCCAAGGACAGUGGGACUCCUCGAAAAGAUAAUUGCUCAUGAGGGAUCCAAGAGCAAGGCUUGUUACAUCCUAUAACCUUCACACAAAAUAUUGACUGAGAAUCCUCCAUGUGCCAAGUACUGUUCAAAAACACUGGGAACCCAGCAGGGAUGAGCCACAAGUUUCCUUGUCUUUACGAAGCUUUCAUUCUGAGGGAGUGGAGAGAGACAAGCAAUAAACAACCAAUCAAAACAAAGAUGACUCCUCUGAGUGUUGUGAUAUGCGGGUCAAGGAGGAUGGCUCCCAGGAUGUGACCUCAGAGCAGAAGCCUGGAGGCUUGCCAGCAGCGGGAAGAGCAGCGGCAGGGCACUGCAGGCAGAGGUGACCAAAAGCGUGAAACCUUGAGCUGGGAAGCACGUGGUCUGCUGGAAAGUGGGCUGAUGUAUUUGAAGAGAGCAAGGAGCAGAAUGGUACAAUGGGGUGAUGGGGGAAGAGCCAGGCAGAGCCCAGUGCUGCAAAGCCCGGUAGCACAUACAUGUGUAACGUACCUUGAAGCAAAUGAAUGGCCUGAUCUGGUUUCUGUUUUGGCUGCUCUGUGGUGAUGUGGUGCCUGGGAGGCAAAGAAGCUGGGAAAGAAGCGGUUUUUCUCUUCUAGGUACUUUAAAGCUCUAUAAUAUAUGCUCAGGUGAAAUUUGGCUGGUAUUUUCAGGGACUUCACUGCUUUUGUGCCAUACUGGCCUCAUCAUGUAGAUAACAUCACGGAUUCAUUCCAUCUUAUUAUUCUGUAAGAGUGAUGUCUAAUUUUUUUAAAAAAGAAUCAGCUUUAAAAAAUGCAAAGUCUCAUAGAAAGUAACUCUUUUCUAUUUUAAGCAAGCAUUCAGAAUAUUAGCAGUGCUAAUCAGUACCUCACUAAACAGUUAUGACUGAUUCUAAGUGCAAAGUGGGGAAUGAGAGUAACAGAGAGUAUUUACUGGCUGCUAAAAGCAGGUACAAUGGGGAGCAUGCUAGAGAAACUGUCUCACUGAAUCCUCGGAUGACCCCAUGGUGUAGGUAAUACUGGAGAAACUGAGGCUGCAGUGGCCACAUGACUUGCACAAGGCCACCCAGUAAGAAUGGGAUAGAACAAGAGCCCAUGUCCAUAACCCCUCUCCUACUACGCUAAGGUCAGGGUGGCCCUUUAAGGUGACCAAAGGGUUAGAAAUAACAAACAAGAGUGGAUGAACCUAGGUUUAUUUUGUCUGGAGGAGAGAAAUCUUUGAGAGUGAUUAAUUAAAGCAUAUUCAGGAUAUUUUUUAAAUAAACGGAGAGAGCUGUUCUCCAUCAUCCCUAAUGGUAGAAGAAAAGGCCUUCACCCUCAGCCUGGCAGGUGAAGACAGAGAUAAAGAAUGUGCAGACUGUGGGAUCUUGCUGGGAGGGAGGCAGGACUCACCUACCUAGUCUGUCUCUGAUGCAUUUCUUUGGAAAAUGCAUGUUGACAGUGCUUCUAAAAGUAAUCAUAUGAGCUGCCUGAAAAGGUCAACUUUCAACUCUGGUAAAGAUUGGGAUGCCUUUUCCAGAUUAAUUCCACAUUGGUGUUUGUGGGCAAUGCUGAAACAAAAGAAAAUCCAGGCUAGCCAAAACUUUUCACAUAAAUAGUGACAAAAGCAACCGAGUGGCUGGACAGAUUUGAGACAGGAACAGCCCGAGGACUACAGCAGGGGCUCCCAGUCUGGAGACUCUAACAUAGAUCUCCAGAUGACCCCAAUGACUGGGAAUUGCUUUUACUCUGGACAGCCUGCUGGGCGGCCCCAGUUGACUGUCCCGGGUAUGUCCCGGGUCGCUAACCACUUUGACUGCCCCUGAGCCACAGAGUCAGGCAGGAGUCAGGGACACGUAGGUACUCUCUUCUCCCUGCCCCUCACCUUCCUUCAGGGCCACCUCGGCCACAAAGGCUGGCUCCACAUCAGUCAGCUACUCAGACAUGCUCUCGCCUCACCUCCU